AGGAAAGUUGAAAAGAACUUUGAAGAGAGAGUUCAAGAGUACGUGAAACGUUCAGGNGUAAACUGAGAAACCAAAAGAUCGAAUGGGGAGAUUCAUCGUCAGCGGAGUCGGCUUCCGUGUGGCUUGCGAUGUCCGGGACUUCGGUCCCGCGGCACGCAGUCGCUGCGGCAUGUCUGGCCUCGUCGGCGUGCACUUCUCCCCUAGUAGGACGUCGCGACCCGUUGGGUGUCGGCCUACGGCCCGGUUGGUCGCCUGCCGCGUAAGCGUUCGCGCGUUUCACGCGGCAGACCAUCGGUCGCCCGGCCGGCUGCCCGGCGGUAUAGAACGCAUAAUCCAUGGUAUUGGGCCGCACACUCGUGUGCGUCCUGGCUCGUCGGCAGGCUCGCCUCGCUCGGAUUUACGGACCUAGCGCCGUUGCCGGGUGCUUGGCGCGGCCGUUAGUCGACGAUGUCCUCGGACCGGCUCUCAAACACAUACCAGUCGGCGACGCUACUGCUUUGGGUACUUUCAGGACCCGUCUUGAAACACGGACCAAGGAGUCUAACAUGUGCGCGAGUCAUUGGGAUUUUUUUAAACCUAAAGGCGCAAUGAAAGUGAAGGUCGUUCCUUAGCGUCGACCGAGGGAGGAUGGCUCGCGUCACGAUGCAGAGCCCGCACUCCCGGGGCGUCUCGUGCUCAUUGCACCAGACGCACCCAGAGCGUACACUUUGGGAACCGAAAGAUGGUGAACUAUGCCUGGUCAGGACGAAGUCAGGGGAAACCCUGAUGGAGGUCCGUAGCGAUUCUGACGUGCAAAUCGAUCGUCGGAACUGGGUAUAGGGGCGAAAGACUAAUCGAACCAUCUAGUAGCUGGUUCCCUCCGAAG
RNAcentral lists this ribosomal RNA (865 nucleotides) under Eridontomerus sp. 1317_21. RNAcentral's name for it is "eukaryotic LSU rRNA". It matches the Rfam family "Eukaryotic large subunit ribosomal RNA", at positions 357 to 966 of the family's 3401-position model. The record is from RNAcentral. Lineage: Eukaryota; Metazoa; Arthropoda; Insecta; Hymenoptera; Torymidae.